UACGAAGGGGGCUAGCGUUGCUCGGAAUCACUGGGCGUAAAGCGCACGUAGGCGGAUUGCUAAGUCAGGGGUGAAAUGCCGAGGCUCAACCUCGGAACUGCCUUUGAUACUGGCGAUCUUAGAGUCCGGGAGAGGUGAGUGGAACUCCGAGUGUAGAGGUGAAAUUCGUAGAUAUUCGGAAGAACACCAGUGGCGAAGGCGGCUCACUGGCCCGGUACUGACGCUGAGGUGCGAAAGCGUGGGGAGCAAACAGG
Molecule: ribosomal RNA, 254 nt
Filed under: uncultured bacterium
Lineage: Bacteria
Description: partial 16S ribosomal RNA
Rfam family: Bacterial small subunit ribosomal RNA
Source: RNAcentral